Toxorhynchites rutilus septentrionalis is the source of this 1140-nucleotide long non-coding RNA. RefSeq lists it as uncharacterized. The record is from RefSeq and is a predicted model, not a curated record. The transcript is spliced from 3 exons. Lineage: Eukaryota; Metazoa; Arthropoda; Insecta; Diptera; Culicidae.
UUGCGUAUUACUGGCGAGACUCCAGCAGCAGCAGCAACAGCCGUAAGGCUCUCGAACGGAUCGUAUCGAGCCGAUCGGCGAAAGUGUGUCAACAUAUUUGUGUGCGAAAUGCAUUUCGCAAAUAUUUCAUAAUAUCCAUAAAGGCAUACCUCUUCAACUGUUUGCUUAUUGAUUUGAAAAAAUAUUACUGUGGGCAAACAGAGUGAAGCCCACCAAACGCACUCCUCUGCCCCACCCAGCGAUGAGAUUAACAAACAACAGAAAUGAUUAUCGAUGCUGCAAGCCUCAUUACAUCUAUUUACCCCUAGGCAGGGCAUACAAGAAUGGGAAAAUUUCGUGUAACAGAGGGCAGCACACUCUGCACCUCUGUCAUCUUGUGGUAAAAUCUCCAGAUAUGCUUGCUUUCAUCCGAAGAGAGCACUGUAUAUUAUUGCAGUUCAUUUUCUAUCCGCAAAGACGAAAGCACAGUGUCGACAUCUGAAAAAUUUAACAUUCAACAUUCGUGCUUGUGGAGCAAAUUAACAGAUUAGCAGACCAGAGAGCAGUUUCAAAUUGUUAAAAAUAUACAACAUUUACUGAUAUUUCAAAUUUCCAAUUUUUGAUCAACAACAACAACAAUAAUUCUAGAUGUUGCACGCUCCUUUUUGUCUAUUUACCACUAGGAUUGGCAAAAAUGAUUGAAAUAAUAUCGUGCAACAGAGGACAGCACACGCUGUAGCUCUGCCAUCUAACGUAAUUCAUAGGCAACUUUUAAUUAGUAGUAGGGACAUCUGCCGUCUGGAAUAAUUCUAAUGACCAAUAAUUCCAGAUACUCGCUUUCUACCGAAGAGGGCGCUGUAUAUUGUAGCCCAUUCUCUAACCGCGAAGCAAAUGUACAUUGUCCACAUCUGAUGGCUUCAUUUGUCUUGUGCAAGGCGUUCUGAAAUACAGGGUCUUUCAGACGAAACGCUCACAAAUUUGCAUAACUUACAAAAGUGAACCGAUUUUUAUUUUUGAAUAAAAAAAUGUAAAAAAAACAGUGGGUUAUAUCUAUGGUAUAACCGCAAGGAUGACGUAGGACUAUCGUUGAUUUAGAGAUCAUUUGUAUGAAGUUGAAUCUGAAUUCAUUCUGAAUGAAUGAAUAUUUGGAGAACUUCGAAA